This 73-nucleotide transfer RNA is filed under the name Podarcis lilfordi (Lilford's wall lizard). It matches the Rfam family "tRNA". Rfam says of the family: Transfer RNA (tRNA) molecules are approximately 80 nucleotides in length. Their secondary structure includes four short double-helical elements and three loops (D, anti-codon, and T loops). Further hydrogen bonds mediate the characteristic L-shaped molecular structure. tRNAs have two regions of fundamental functional importance: the anti-codon, which is responsible for specific mRNA codon recognition, and the 3' end, to which the tRNAs corresponding amino acid is attached (by aminoacyl-tRNA synthetases). tRNAs cope with the degeneracy of the genetic code in two manners: having more than one tRNA (with a specific anti-codon) for a particular amino acid; and 'wobble' base-pairing, i.e. permitting non-standard base-pairing at the 3rd anti-codon position. The record is from Rfam by way of RNAcentral. Lineage: Eukaryota; Metazoa; Chordata; Lepidosauria; Squamata; Lacertidae.
ACCCAUAUAGCUCAGUUGGUAGAGCAUGAGGCUCUUCAUCUCAAGGUUGUGGGUUCGAGCCCCACAUUGGGCA